GACGUAGGGCGCGAGCGUUGUCCGGAUUUAUUGGGCGUAAAGAGCUCGUAGGCGGCUUGUCGCGUCGACUGUGAAAACCCAUGGCUCAACCAUGGGCUUGCAGUCGAUACGGGCGGGCUAGAGUUCGGUAGGGGAGACUGGAAUUCCUGGUGUAGCGGUGAAAUGCGCAGAUAUCAGGAGGAACACCGGUGGCGAAGGCGGGUCUCUGGGCCGAUACUGACGCUGAGGAGCGAAAGCGUGGGGAGCGAACAGG
This 253-nucleotide ribosomal RNA is filed under the name uncultured bacterium. Its description in RNAcentral is "partial 16S ribosomal RNA". It matches the Rfam family "Bacterial small subunit ribosomal RNA", at positions 524 to 776 of the family's 1533-position model. The record is from RNAcentral.